GACGAACGCUGGCGGCGUGCUUAACACAUGCAAGUCGAACGGAAAGGCCUGCUUUCCCUUGUGGAUUGCGGGUACUCGAGUGGCUAACGGGUGAGUAACACGUGAGUGAUCUGCCCCCAACUUGGGUAUAAGCCUGGGAAACUGGGUCUAAUUCCCGAUAGGACUGCAGGGUGGUGCCUUUGGUGGAAAACGAUUUUCUAGUGGUUGGGGAUGAGUUCGCGGCCUAUCAGCUUGUUGGUGGGGUAAUGGCCUACCAAGGCGGCGACGGGUAGCCGGCCUGAGAGGGUGGACGGCGACAUUGGGACUGAGAUACGGCCCAGACUCCUACGGGAGGCAGCAGUGGGGAAUAUUGCACAAUGGGCGGAAGCCUGAUGCAGCGACGCCGCGUGGGGGAUGACGGCAUUCGGGUUGUAAACUCCUUUCGACCGCGAGGAAGCCACCUGGUUGGAAGGGUGGUGACGGUAGUGGUAGAAGAAGCACCGGCUAACUACGUG
RNAcentral lists this ribosomal RNA (494 nucleotides) under uncultured bacterium. RNAcentral's name for it is "partial 16S ribosomal RNA". It matches the Rfam family "Bacterial small subunit ribosomal RNA", at positions 28 to 507 of the family's 1533-position model. The record is from RNAcentral.